AUUGAACGCUGGCGGAAUGCUUUACACAUGCAAGUCGAACGGCAGCACGGACUUCGGUCUGGUGGCGAGUGGCGAACGGGUGAGUAAUGUAUCGGAACGUGCCCAGUCGUGGGGGAUAACGUAGUGAAAAUUACGCUAAUACCGCAUACGAUCUAUGGAUGAAAGCGGGGGAUCGCAAGACCUCGCGCGAUUGGAGCGGCCGAUAUCAGAUUAGGUAGUUGGUGGGGUAAAGGCCCACCAAGCCAACGAUCUGUAGCUGGUCUGAGAGGACGACCAGCCAAACUGGAACUGAGACACGGUCCAGACUCCUACGGGGGGCAGCAGUGGGGAAUUUUGGACAAUGGGCGAAAGCCUGAUCCAGCCAUUCCGCGUGCAGGAUGAAGGCCCUCGGGUUGUAAACUGCUUUUGUACAGAACGAAGAGGUUUCUACUAAUACUAGGAGCUCAUGACGGUACUGUAAGAAUAAGCACCGGCUAACUACGUGCCAGCCGCCGCGGUAA
This 500-nucleotide ribosomal RNA is filed under the name uncultured bacterium. Its description in RNAcentral is "partial 16S ribosomal RNA". It matches the Rfam family "Bacterial small subunit ribosomal RNA", at positions 30 to 523 of the family's 1533-position model. The record is from RNAcentral.